This is a long non-coding RNA of Symphalangus syndactylus (siamang), 1853 nucleotides long. RefSeq lists it as uncharacterized. The record is from RefSeq and is a predicted model, not a curated record. Lineage: Eukaryota; Metazoa; Chordata; Mammalia; Primates; Hylobatidae.
UCUUAUAAAUAGCUGCUAAGCAGCUGGUCCUCCUCUCACCUCCUGACUCUGUCAGAAUCCCCCACCAGAAGCCCCUGACAGUCAUGCAGCUGGGAGAUCCCCCUUUCUCUUCUUCUCUCCUCUCCACUCUCUACCUCUGACAUAUGGCCGCCACCUCAACGAUGUCCACUGAAACCAGCCAGGGACUGAUUUCCAUGGGAGAAGGGGUCAAGCAGGCUGAGGGCUGGAUCCGACCACUGAAGCAAGCUGUCACCCAACACAAUCCGCAGAUUGUCUUUGCUCUCCGUUGAAUCCCCUGUUUGCAGCAUCCUGCUGGGCACGCAAUAGACACUCAGGAAAUAACUGUUUCUUGAAGGAUUAUAAGAGCUAAUGUUUAUUGAGAAUUUUGUAUUCUACCAUUUAAUCCUCACCAAUCACUUGUGAAAUAAGUAAUAUUAAUUAAUCCCAUUUUACAGAUGAGUAAAUGGAGACUCAAAGGAUUAAGUGACUUGCCAAAUGCUAAUGAGUGGUGGAGUGGGGCUUGAACCCUAGUAGUCUGACUGUUGAGUCUGGGAGAGGCCAUAUGGCAGGUCUGGUGGCAGAAGAGGAACCAGAGUGGCCCAGAACAAGGGAGGCAGAGAAAGUGGUGGCUCUGGGGGUAGGGAUGUGGGGAGAUCCUUUCUCCCAUUUAGGCUUAGGGGACCCAGAUUUCUGGCAUCACUGCUAGAUCGCCCCCGCUUCAGCUGUUCAGGGAGUAUUUUAGCGAGUGAAUGAGGCUGGACAUCCUUAACAGAUGCUGCCUGCCCACGUGGACUGGUCUUCCAGCCGCUCACUGCUGAGCUGAAGCUGUUGAACGUUUCCUCAGGCAUUCCCUCCACAGCAGGGCCUUCCAGCAAACCCGCAGGCUUCCUGGCUGCUGCCUUGACCUAGGUCCUGUUCUCAGGAGCUUCUCUGCGACAGGCGAGAGGCCAGGUGCUGGGAGUUCAAGGUCCUCAAAACAAAUGGUGACCACAUCCAAAUGCCAUGAAGCUGUAUGGGGUGUCAUCUGCUAAGGUAGGAGAUGGUGGGGAUGGACUCCACCUCAGAAUACAGGGAGGAUUUCAUCAGCAGAAGUGCUUAGAGACCUUGCUCCAGGGGAAGCCAGCUGCCAUGUUGUGAGAGUUCUGUGGAGAGGCCCAUGUGACAAGGAACUCGUGUCUUGGCCAACAUCCAAUGAGAACUCAAGGCCCACCAGGAGCCACGCAAUUGAGCUUGGAGACUAGAAAAAAUCUCCUGGGCUGGGGAAGAUGAAAGAGAGACAAGAAGAAUCCAUGAGCGCAUAGAUGGUUAGAAGUGUCUUCUGAAUAGAAGUAUCUCUAACUCUGCCUUCUGUGCCGAGCCCCGUGGAAGCAGGAAAACCCAAGGUGCUUUCCAAAAUCCAAGACCACAGGGCCCCUGUGCCUUUCCCAAAGGGAUAAAAUGGCUGUACUCAUGACAAUCUUCUGGAGAUUUUCGUGGCUCAGCAGGACACGUGGCAUGAAAGGAUCAAAAUGAUGACUCAUCAAGCAUGGCCCUGAGAGAGGACUCUGAUCCCAGACGCGUACUGCCAAUCCUCAGCACGGAAGGGAAAUGUCUUCCUUCUGGAUGGCCUCCUUUUAAUUUUUGGUCACAAUGAAAUCACUUGUCUUCUUUUGUGAUUCCUCUCAGAAUGUGGGAAGGAAGAUGAUAAGAGCAUCUCCUGAGGUCUGCAGGGUCCUCUUCAGCCUCUGGAGCAGACCUUCAAACAUAAACCCAAGUCGUCCAGGGCACGGAGUGGAUUUGUGAUCCUCCCUGGAGGUUGUUGGCUCCAAAUCCCAGGAAUGUGUUAUAUGAAAAAAUAAAUGCCUUUUUUUGCC